CACGUAGUUAGCCGUGGCUUCCUCCUCAGGUACCGUCAUUAUCGUCCCUGAAGACAGAGCUUUACAACCCGAAGGCCGUCAUCACUCACGCGGCGUUGCUGCAUCAGGGUUUCCCCCAUUGUGCAAUAUUCCCCACUGCUGCCUCCCGUAGGAGUCUGGGCCGUGUCUCAGUCCCAAUGUGGCCGAUCACCCCCUCAGGUCGGCUACGCAUCGUCGCCUUGGUGAGCCCGUUACCUCACCAACUAGCUAAUGCGCCGCGGGCCCAUCUCAUAGCGGAUUGCUCCUUUAAUGCUACUUCAUGCGAAGCUACAAUCUUAUGCGGUAUUAAUCUCCCUUUCGGAAGGCUAUUCCCCUCUAUGAGGCAGGUUGCCCACGUGUUACUCACCCGUCCGCCGCUAGCUUUGUUCCGAAGAACCUCCACUCGCUCGACUUGCAUGUGUUAGGCACGCCGCCAGCGUUCGUCCUGAGCCAGGAUCGAAACUCU
This 484-nucleotide ribosomal RNA is filed under the name uncultured Clostridiaceae bacterium. RNAcentral describes it as "partial 16S ribosomal RNA". The record is from RNAcentral. Lineage: Bacteria; Bacillati; Bacillota; Clostridia; Eubacteriales; Clostridiaceae.